RNAcentral lists this ribosomal RNA (253 nucleotides) under uncultured bacterium. Its description in RNAcentral is "partial 16S ribosomal RNA". It matches the Rfam family "Bacterial small subunit ribosomal RNA", at positions 524 to 776 of the family's 1533-position model. The record is from RNAcentral.
UACGUAGGUGGCGAGCGUUGUCCGGAUUUAUUGGGCGUAAAGAGCCCGCAGGCGGCUCGGCAAGUUUCAGGUGAAAUCUCCCGGCUUAACCGGGAGGGUGCCUGGAAAACUGCCGGGCUUGAGGCAGGGAGAGGGAUGCGGAAUUCCCGGUGUAGUGGUGAAAUGCGUAGAUAUCGGGAGGAACACCAGUGGCGAAGGCGGCAUCCUGGCCCUGUCCUGACGCUCAGGGGCGAAAGCGUGGGGAGCAAACCGG